Molecule: ribosomal RNA, 253 nt
Filed under: uncultured bacterium
Lineage: Bacteria
Description: partial 16S ribosomal RNA
Rfam family: Bacterial small subunit ribosomal RNA
Source: RNAcentral
UACGUAGGGGGCAAGCGUUGUCCGGAAUCAUUGGGCGUAAAGCGCGUGUAGGCGGUUCGGUAAGUCCGCUGUGAAAGUCGGGGGCUCAACCCUCGGAUGCCGGUGGAUACUGUCGGACUAGAGUACGGAAGAGGCGAGUGGAAUUCCUGGUGUAGCGGUGAAAUGCGCAGAUAUCAGGAAGAACACCCGUGGCGAAAGCGGCUCUCUGGAACGGUACUGACGCUGAGACGCGAAAGCGUGGGGAGCGAACAGG